RNAcentral lists this ribosomal RNA (468 nucleotides) under uncultured bacterium. RNAcentral describes it as "partial 16S ribosomal RNA". It matches the Rfam family "Bacterial small subunit ribosomal RNA", at positions 28 to 507 of the family's 1533-position model. The record is from RNAcentral.
GACGAACGCUGGCGGCGCGCCUAACACAUGCAAGUCGAACGGAGCUGAGAGAAGCUUGCUUUUCUUAGCUUAGUGGCGAACGGGUGAGUAACGCGUGCGUAACCUGCCCUGGAGAGGGGGACAACAGUUGGAAACGACUGCUAAUACCGCAUAAGCCCACGAUCCGGCCUCGGAUUGAGGGAAAAGGAUUUAUUCGCUUAAGGAUCGACCCGCGUCCAAUUAGCUAGUUGGUGAGGUAACGGCCCACCAAGGCGACGAUUCGUAGCCGGACUGAGAGGUUGAACGGCCACAUUGGGACUGAGACACGGCCCAGACUCCUACGGGAGGCAGCAGUGGGGGAUAUUGGACAAUGGGGGAAAGCCUGAUGCAGCGACGCCGCGUGGAGGAAGAAGGUUUUCGGAUUGUAAACUCCUGUUGUUAGGGACGAUAAUGACGGUACCUGACAAGAAAGCACCGGCUAACUACGUG